GAUGAACGCUGGCGGCGUGCCUAAUACAUGCAAGUCGAGCGAACAGAUGAGGAGCUUGCUCCUCUGACGUUAGCGGCGGACGGGUGAGUAACACGUGGAUAACCUACCUAUAAGACUGGGAUAACUUCGGGAAACCGGAGCUAAUACCGGAUAAUAUAUUGAACCGCAUGGUUCAAUAGUGAAAGACGGUUUUGCUGUCACUUAUAGAUGGAUCCGCGCCGCAUUAGCUAGUUGGUAAGGUAACGGCUUACCAAGGCAACGAUGCGUAGCCGACCUGAGAGGGGGAUCGGCCACACUGGAACUGAGACACGGUCCAGACGCCUACGGGAGGCAGCAGUAGGGAAGCUUCCGCAAUGGGCGAAAGCCUGACGGAGCAACGCCGCGUGAGUGAUGAAGGUCUUCGGAUCGUAAAACUCUGUUAUUAGGGAAGAACAAAUGUGUAAGUAACUAUGCACGUCUUGACGGUACCUAAUCAGAAAGCCACGGCUAACUACGUG
RNAcentral lists this ribosomal RNA (497 nucleotides) under uncultured bacterium. RNAcentral describes it as "partial 16S ribosomal RNA". It matches the Rfam family "Bacterial small subunit ribosomal RNA", at positions 28 to 507 of the family's 1533-position model. The record is from RNAcentral.